This 424-nucleotide ribosomal RNA is filed under the name uncultured bacterium. Its description in RNAcentral is "bacterial SSU rRNA". It matches the Rfam family "Bacterial small subunit ribosomal RNA", at positions 917 to 1344 of the family's 1533-position model. The record is from RNAcentral.
GGGCCCGCACAAGUGGUGGAGCAUGUGGUUUAAUUCGACGCUACGCGAAGAACCUUACCUGGGCUUGACAUGGACCGGAAUGUACUGGAGACAGUGCAGCUCUUUGAGUCGGUUCACAGGUGCUGCAUGGCUGUCGUCAGCUCGUGCCGUGAGGUGUUGGGUUAAGUCCCGCAACGAGCGCAACCCUUACUCUUAGUUGCCAUCGGGUAAUGCCGGGCACUCUAGGGGGACUGCCAGCACAAGCUGGAGGAAGGUGGGGAUGACGUCAAGUCAGCAUGGCCCUUACGUCCAGGGCUACACACGUACUACAAUGCUACGGACAAAGGGCAGCAAGUUCGCGAGGACAAGCAAAUCCCAUAAACCGUUCGUAGUCCGGAUUGGAGUCUGCAACUCGACUCCAUGAAGUCGGAAUCGCUAGUAAUCG